UGGGGAAUUUUGGACAAUGGGGGAAACCCUGAUCCAGCCAUCCCGCGUGUGCGAUGAAGGCCUUCGGGUUGUAAAGCACUUUUGGCAGGAAAGAAACGUCAUGGGUUAAUACCCCGUGAAACUGACGGUACCUGCAUAAUAAGCACCGGCUAACUACGUGCCAGCAGCCGCGGUAAUACGUAGGGUGCAAGCGUUAAUCGGAAUUACUGGGCGUAAAGCGUGCGCAGGCGGUUCGGAAAGAAAGAUGUGAAAUCCCCGAGCUCAACUUUGGAAGUGAAUAUUUAACAACCGGGAUAGAGUGUGUCAGAGGGAGGUGGAAUUCAGGGUGUAGCAGUGAAAGGCGUAGAUAGGCGGAGGAACACCGAUGGCGAAGGCAGCCACCUGGGAUAACACUGACGCUCAUGCACGAAAGCGUGGGGAGCAAACAGG
Molecule: ribosomal RNA, 429 nt
Filed under: Acidobacteriota bacterium
Lineage: Bacteria; Pseudomonadati; Acidobacteriota
Description: Acidobacteria bacterium partial 16S ribosomal RNA
Rfam family: Bacterial small subunit ribosomal RNA
Source: RNAcentral